GUAAGGCCCUUCGGGGGUACACGAGCGGCGAACGGGUGAGUAACACGUGAGCAACCUGCCCCCGACUCCGGGAUAAGCGGUGGAAACGCCGUCUAAUACCGGAUACGACACACCGCCUCAUGGCGGUGUGUGGAAAGUUUUUCGGUCGGGGAUGGGCUCGCGGCCUAUCAGCUUGUUGGUGGGGUGACGGCCUACCAAGGCGAUUACGGGUAGCCGGCCUGAGAGGGCGACCGGCCUCCAUGGGACUGAGUCACGGCCCCGAUUCGAGCUGGAACCAGCUUUUGGGAAUAUUGCGCAAUGGGCGAAAGCCUGACGCAGCGACGCCGCGUGGGGGAUGACGGCCUUCGGGUUGUAAACCUCUUUUACCACCAACGCAGGCUCCCAGUUCUCUGGGGGUUGACGGUAGGUGGGGAAUAAGGACCGGCUAACUACGUGCCAGCAGCCGCGGUAAUACGUAGGGUCCGAGCGUCGUCCGGAAUUAUUGGGCGUAAAGAGCUCGUAGGCGGCGUGUCGCGUCUGCUGUGAAAGACCGGGGCUUAACUCCGGUUCUCCAGUGGAUACGGGCAUGCUAGAGGUAGGUAGGGGAGACUGGAAUUCCUGGUGUAGCGGUUAAAUGCGCAGAUAUCAGGAGGAACACCGGUGGCGAAGGCGGGUCUUUGGGCCUUACCUGACGUUGAGGAGCGAAAGCAUGGGGAGCGAACAGGAUUAGAUACCCUGGUAGUCCAUGCCGUAAACGUUGGGCGCUAGGUGUGGGGACUUUCCACGGUUUCCGCGCCGCAGCUAACGCAUUAAGCGCCCCGCCUGGGGAGUACGGCCGCAAGGCUAAAACUCAAAGGAAUUGACGGGGGCCCGCACAAGCGGCGGAGCAUGUUGCCUAAUUCGACGCUACUCGAAGAACCUUCCCAAUG
RNAcentral lists this ribosomal RNA (908 nucleotides) under Nocardiopsis tropica. Its description in RNAcentral is "bacterial SSU rRNA". It matches the Rfam family "Bacterial small subunit ribosomal RNA", at positions 69 to 979 of the family's 1533-position model. Lineage: Bacteria; Bacillati; Actinomycetota; Actinomycetes; Streptosporangiales; Nocardiopsidaceae. The record is from RNAcentral.